Non-coding RNA from Paramuricea clavata, 212 nucleotides. The record is from the annotation of a GenBank genome assembly. NCBI's taxonomy places the organism in Eukaryota, Metazoa, Cnidaria, Anthozoa, Malacalcyonacea, Plexauridae.
GGACGAGAGUUAAUGGAUGAUAAAACUAAAGAAAUAAUUCAGGGAAAGUGGCUGGAAGUUGUUGCUAAACAAACUGGGUUUCAAGAUUAUAAUGAGUUGAGGAGUGCAUUCUGAAAGGAAAAGAGAAAUAAUAAUUAAGAAAUAUUUAAAAUUGUGGGUGAUGACGUAGGGGUGAUGACGUAGGUGACAUAUCACGUAAAUUUUGUAGGUGC